Cyprinus carpio carpio is the source of this 412-nucleotide long non-coding RNA. The record is from Ensembl. NCBI's taxonomy places the organism in Eukaryota, Metazoa, Chordata, Actinopteri, Cypriniformes, Cyprinidae.
GUAAGUGUUCUGAAUGUUAUGGUUUUUAGUGUGUGUUGUCUGUUAUGGGCAGUGCUGGGUAGUAAGUGAUUACAUAAUCAGAUUAAACCAAUCCAAUAGAUUGUUACAAACAUGUAAUGUUUAAUCAGUAACGGACUACAAUUUGUGAAAAUUGUUCACCUUAUGACUUACAACAGUAAUAUCACACGUCUCCUCAACAAGACACAUGAUCUGAGGAUUCAUUCAUUGUUAACAGAGGAAAGACACAGCUGUCUUCAGACCACACAACGGCCCGCCAAUCGAUAUCACAACAUGUUUUCUUCAUGCCUGACAGCAGGAUUCUUGAGAUAAAGCCAUAGGUCAGACGUCCAUAUAGGAUACGUGAUGCUCACUCAGCAAGACUGGAGGAGAAAAAGUUCACCAGGCAGAUGCA